UGGGGUGUGGCUCAGUGUUAGAGCACUUGCCUAGCAUGUGUGAGGCACUGAGUUUAAUCCUCUGUACUUCAU
Molecule: transfer RNA, 72 nt
Filed under: Marmota marmota marmota (Alpine marmot)
Lineage: Eukaryota; Metazoa; Chordata; Mammalia; Rodentia; Sciuridae
Also listed under: 1 other name
Rfam family: tRNA
About the family: Transfer RNA (tRNA) molecules are approximately 80 nucleotides in length. Their secondary structure includes four short double-helical elements and three loops (D, anti-codon, and T loops). Further hydrogen bonds mediate the characteristic L-shaped molecular structure. tRNAs have two regions of fundamental functional importance: the anti-codon, which is responsible for specific mRNA codon recognition, and the 3' end, to which the tRNAs corresponding amino acid is attached (by aminoacyl-tRNA synthetases). tRNAs cope with the degeneracy of the genetic code in two manners: having more than one tRNA (with a specific anti-codon) for a particular amino acid; and 'wobble' base-pairing, i.e. permitting non-standard base-pairing at the 3rd anti-codon position.
Source: Rfam by way of RNAcentral